GGGAUUUCUCCCAAUAAAAUUAUUACUCCAUAUACUAUGGAUCAAAUUGAUGAGUUAGCUAAUGAGUUAAAUACUUGGGCAAUAAUCAUGUGUAAAUCUAAUGUUUCAUUUGAUAAUCACUUACCGUCUAAUCCUUUGUUGUCUUUUUGGUCUAAACAUCCUGUAGUUUUUCCAAAGAUGACAAAAAAAAAAAAAAACCCUAUCAUGAAUGCUCCAAAUAUAUUCACUGAUGGGUCAAAUAAUGGUACAGCAGCAGUAGUUACCCCUGAUCAAACUUUUACAUUUUUAGUACCCAAACAAUCAGCUCAAAAGGUAGAGCUUAAUGCAGUAUUACAAGCUUUUAUGAUGUUUAAAGAUUCUGUAUUUAAUUUAUUUUCUGAUAGUCAGUAUNAGGUUAACAGAUCUGUUUGUUUACUUUCACCUUUCCUUUUCAUUAUAUUUAAUAAUUCUGUUCAGGAUAAUGUAAAUUGUUCUAAAUAUUGUUUUCUUAGUACCUGUUGAAAUGUUACAUAUUUUUUUUUAGCAUCAUUGUCAGAAUUCCUAUUUUCAUCCCAGUGCCGGUGAAGACAAAGAUGAAACCAAACUACAACUUCUUCGAGAGUUAUCACAAGAAACUGUAUAAACUGAUACAUCAAUGAUUAAUAACUCAACAAGUAAUGCUCAAUCAAUGAGUUGAUUUAUUUUGGGAGGAUAUGGACAUAUUGAUAGAUUCCUCCGCUUUGAACUGCUUACAGAACUUGCCUGGACUAUGUAUCACUUGUAUGCAUUGUGAUCUAUCUGUUGAUGCAGCGAAUUAUGGUAGUGCUAGUGUAUCUUUGCUGAUGUGUCACCAGUGAUGCAAUUUUUCCUAGGAGCCGUCAAUUGACUUGGUGUCGUGGCAUUUCUGUAUCCUCCUCCCUUCUACUAGUGAUGGUCUAAUUUUGGGGGCCAACAGAGGUGAGGCAAAGAACCUCACCCCCCCCACCAGCACCAAGGCCAAAUUUGGGGGCCAACAGAGGUGAGGCAAAAAACCUCACCCCCCCACAGGUGCAUAGGCCUAUCCACAAGUAUGGCUAUAUGCUGGACCGGUAAUCAGUGAUGGGUAUGAUCC
Molecule: long non-coding RNA, 1090 nt
Filed under: Marmota monax (woodchuck)
Lineage: Eukaryota; Metazoa; Chordata; Mammalia; Rodentia; Sciuridae
Source: RNAcentral